Sinocyclocheilus rhinocerous is the source of this 179-nucleotide long non-coding RNA. RefSeq lists it as uncharacterized. The record is from RefSeq and is a predicted model, not a curated record. The transcript is spliced from 3 exons. Lineage: Eukaryota; Metazoa; Chordata; Actinopteri; Cypriniformes; Cyprinidae.
CACAGAUGCCAGAGUAAGUACAGACUGUGACAUUACAGUAACUGGACAAGAACAUCUGCGCAAGGAUGAAGACUUUACAUGCAAUGCUGCUGAUGCUGUUUGUUGCAUCAGUCUUUUCAAAACCACCUUACCCGCGCAGAAGAUCUGAUUCAUCAGACUCGGAGGGUUCGGAUGAAAAU